AUUGAACGCUGGCGGCAUGCCUUACACAUGCAAGUCGAACGGCAGCGGACCUUCGGGUGCCGGCGAGUGGCGAACGGGUGAGUAAUGCAUCGGAACGUGCCAUUGAGUGGGGGAUAACGUAGCGAAAGUUACGCUAAUACCGCAUAUUCUGUGAGCAGGAAAGCAGGGGACCGCAAGGCCUUGCGCUCUUUGAGCGGCCGAUGUCAGAUUAGCUAGUUGGUGAGGUAAAGGCUUACCAAGGCGACGAUCUGUAGCGGGUCUGAGAGGAUGAUCCGCCACACUGGAACUGAGACACGGUCCAGACUCCUACGGGAGGCAGCAGUGGGGAAUUUUGGACAAUGGGCGCAAGCCUGAUCCAGCCAUGCCGCGUGAGUGAAGAAGGCCUCGG
Molecule: ribosomal RNA, 388 nt
Filed under: uncultured bacterium
Lineage: Bacteria
Description: bacterial SSU rRNA
Rfam family: Bacterial small subunit ribosomal RNA
Source: RNAcentral